RNAcentral lists this ribosomal RNA (450 nucleotides) under uncultured bacterium. RNAcentral describes it as "partial 16S ribosomal RNA". It matches the Rfam family "Bacterial small subunit ribosomal RNA", at positions 354 to 796 of the family's 1533-position model. The record is from RNAcentral.
GUGGGGAAUUUUGGACAAUGGGCGAAAGCCUGAUCCAGCCAUGCCGCGUGUGUGAAGAAGGUCUUCGGAUUGUAAAGCACUUUAAGUUGGGAGGAAGGGCAGUAAGUUAAUACCUUGCUGUUUUGACGUUACCGACAGAAUAAGCACCGGCUAACUUCGUGCCAGCAGCCGCGGUAAUACGAAGGGUGCAAGCGUUAAUCGGAAUUACUGGGCGUAAAGUGCGCGUAGGUGGUUUUGUAAGUUGGAGGUGAAAUCCCCGGGCUCAACCUGAGAACUGCCUCCAAAACUGCAUAACUAGAGUACGGUAGAGGGUAGUGGAAUUUCCUGUGUAGCGGUGAAAUGCGUAGAUAUAGGAAGGAACACCAGUGGCGAAGGCGACUACCUGGACUGAUACUGACACUGAGGUGCGAAAGCGUGGGGAGCAAACAGGAUUAGAAACCCCGGUAGUCC